This 2923-nucleotide ribosomal RNA is filed under the name Staphylococcus capitis. RNAcentral describes it as "bacterial LSU rRNA". It matches the Rfam family "Bacterial large subunit ribosomal RNA". Lineage: Bacteria; Bacillati; Bacillota; Bacilli; Caryophanales; Staphylococcaceae. The record is from RNAcentral.
AGAUUAAGUUAUUAAGGGCGCACGGUGGAUGCCUUGGCACUAGAAGCCGAAGAAGGACGUUACUAACGACGAUAUGCUUUGGGUAGCUGUAAGUAAGCGUUGAUCCAGAGAUUUCCGAAUGGGGGAACCCAACAUGAGUUAUGUCAUGUUAUCGACAUGUGAAUUCAUAGCAUGUCAGAAGGCAGACCCGGAGAACUGAAACAUCUUAGUACCCGGAGGAAGAGAAAGAAAAAUCGAUUCCCUGAGUAGCGGCGAGCGAAACGGGAAGAGCCCAAACCAACAAGCUUGCUUGUUGGGGUUGUAGGACACUCUAUACGGAGUUACAAAAGAACAUGUUAGACGAAUCAUCUGGAAAGAUGAAUCAAAGAAGGUAAUAAUCCUGUAGUCGAAAACAUAUUCUCUCUUGAGUGGAUCCUGAGUACGACGGAGCACGUGAAAUUCCGUCGGAAUCUAGGAGGACCAUCUCCUAAGGCUAAAUACUCUCUAGUGACCGAUAGUGAACCAGUACCGUGAGGGAAAGGUGAAAAGUACCCCGGAAGGGGAGUGAAAGAGAACUUGAAACCGUGUGCUUACAAGUAGUCAGAGCCCGUUUAUGGGUGAUGGCGUGCCUUUUGUAGAAUGAACCGGCGAGUUACGAUCUGAUGCAAGGUUAAGCAGUGAAUGUGGAGCCGUAGCGAAAGCGAGUCUGAAUAGGGCGUUGAGUAUUUGGUCGUAGACCCGAAACCAGGUGAUCUACCCUUGGUCAGGUUGAAGUUCAGGUAACACUGAAUGGAGGACCGAACCGACUUACGUUGAAAAGUGAGCGGAUGAACUGAGGGUAGCGGAGAAAUUCCAAUCGAACUUGGAGAUAGCUGGUUCUCUCCGAAAUAGCUUUAGGGCUAGCCUCAAGUGAUGAUUAUUGGAGGUAGAGCACUGUUUGGACGAGGGGCCCCUCUCGGGUUACCGAAUUCAGACAAACUCCGAAUGCCAAUCAAUUUAACUUGGGAGUCAGAACAUGGGUGAUAAGGUCCGUGUUCGAAAGGGAAACAGCCCAGACCACCAGCUAAGGUCCCAAAAUAUAUGUUAAGUGGAAAAGGAUGUGGCGUUGCCCAGACAACUAGGAUGUUGGCUUAGAAGCAGCCAUCAUUUAAAGAGUGCGUAAUAGCUCACUAGUCGAGUGACACUGCGCCGAAAAUGUACCGGGGCUAAACAUAUUACCGAAGCUGUGGAUUGUCCUUCGGACAAUGGUAGGAGAGCGUUCUAAGGGCGUUGAAGCAUGAUCGCAAGGACAUGUGGAGCGCUUAGAAGUGAGAAUGCCGGUGUGAGUAGCGAAAGACGGGUGAGAAUCCCGUCCACCGAUUGACUAAGGUUUCCAGAGGAAGGCUCGUCCGCUCUGGGUUAGUCGGGUCCUAAGCUGAGGCCGACAGGCGUAGGCGAUGGAUAACAGGUUGAUAUUCCUGUACCACCUAGUAUCGUUUUAAUCGAUGGGGGACGCAGUAGGAUAGGCGAAGCGUGCUGUUGGAGUGCACGUCCAAGCAGUAAGGCUGAGUGUUAGGCAAAUCCGGCACUCGUUAGGCUGAGCUGUGAUGGGGAGAGGAAAUUGUUUCCUCGAGUCGUUGAUUUCACACUGCCGAGAAAAGCCUCUAGAUAGAUAACAGGUGCCCGUACCGCAAACCGACACAGGUAGUCAAGAUGAGAAUUCUAAGGUGAGCGAGCGAACUCUCGUUAAGGAACUCGGCAAAAUGACCCCGUAACUUCGGGAGAAGGGGUGCUCUUUAGGGUUCACGCCCAGAAGAGCCGCAGUGAAUAGGCCCAAGCGACUGUUUAUCAAAAACACAGGUCUCUGCUAAACCGUAAGGUGAUGUAUAGGGGCUGACGCCUGCCCGGUGCUGGAAGGUUAAGAGGAGUGGUUAGCUUCUGCGAAGCCACGAAUCGAAGCCCCAGUAAACGGCGGCCGUAACUAUAACGGUCCUAAGGUAGCGAAAUUCCUUGUCGGGUAAGUUCCGACCCGCACGAAAGGCGUAACGAUUUGGGCACUGUCUCAACGAGAGACUCGGUGAAAUCAUAGUACCUGUGAAGAUGCAGGUUACCCGCGACAGGACGGAAAGACCCCGUGGAGCUUUACUGUAGCCUGAUAUUGAAAUUCGGCACAGCUUGUACAGGAUAGGUAGGAGCCAUUGAAACGUGAGCGCUAGCUUACGUGGAGGCGUUGGUGGGAUACUACCCUAGCUGUGUUGGCUUUCUAACCCGCACCACUUAUCGUGGUGGGAGACAGUGUCAGGCGGGCAGUUUGACUGGGGCGGUCGCCUCCUAAAAGGUAACGGAGGCGCUCAAAGGUUCCCUCAGAAUGGUUGGAAAUCAUUCACAGAGUGUAAAGGCAUAAGGGAGCUUGACUGCGAGACCUACAAGUCGAGCAGGGUCGAAAGACGGACUUAGUGAUCCGGUGGUUCCGCAUGGAAGGGCCAUCGCUCAACGGAUAAAAGCUACCCCGGGGAUAACAGGCUUAUCUCCCCCAAGAGUUCACAUCGACGGGGAGGUUUGGCACCUCGAUGUCGGCUCAUCGCAUCCUGGGGCUGUAGUCGGUCCCAAGGGUUGGGCUGUUCGCCCAUUAAAGCGGUACGCGAGCUGGGUUCAGAACGUCGUGAGACAGUUCGGUCCCUAUCCGUCGUGGGCGUAGGAAAUUUGAGAGGAGCUGUCCUUAGUACGAGAGGACCGGGAUGGACAUACCUCUGGUGUACCAGUUGUCGUGCCAACGGCAUAGCUGGGUAGCUAUGUAUGGACGGGAUAAGUGCUGAAAGCAUCUAAGCAUGAAGCCCCCCUCAAGAUGAGAUUUCCCAACUUCGGUUAUAAGAUCCCUCGAAGAUGACGAGGUUAAUAGGUUCGAGGUGGAAGCGUGGUGACACGUGGAGCUGACGAAUACUAAUCGAUCGAAGACUUAAUCAAU